This 177-nucleotide ribosomal RNA is filed under the name Triticum aestivum (bread wheat). RNAcentral describes it as "partial small subunit ribosomal RNA". Lineage: Eukaryota; Viridiplantae; Streptophyta; Magnoliopsida; Poales; Poaceae. The record is from RNAcentral.
CUCCUCCCGUGGAUUCAGUUGGUCAGCCGGUCCACGCCGAACUUCAACGCUCCACUAGUGACCUCUCUUGCUGAUCAAUGGAGGCCAGAGAUGCACAAUUUCCAUCUUCGAACUGGGAAGAUGACCGUGACGCUCGAGGAUGUCGCCUUGAUCACCGGGCUUCCUAUCAAUGGGAGG